RNAcentral lists this transfer RNA (65 nucleotides) under Dipodomys ordii (Ord's kangaroo rat). It matches the Rfam family "tRNA". Rfam says of the family: Transfer RNA (tRNA) molecules are approximately 80 nucleotides in length. Lineage: Eukaryota; Metazoa; Chordata; Mammalia; Rodentia; Heteromyidae. The record is from Rfam by way of RNAcentral.
GGUGGCUUAGUGGUAGAGCACUUGCCUUGCAUGCAUGAGGUCCUGGGUUCGAUUCCCCAGCACCA